Molecule: unclassified non-coding RNA, 304 nt
Filed under: plant metagenome
Description: partial contains 5.8S ribosomal RNA, internal transcribed spacer 2, and large subunit ribosomal RNA
Rfam family: 5.8S ribosomal RNA (bases 1-105)
Source: RNAcentral
GAAAUGCGAUAAGUAAUGUGAAUUGCAGAAUUCAGUGAAUCAUCGAAUCUUUGAACGCACAUUGCGCCCGCCAGUAUUCUGGCGGGCAUGCCUGUUCGAGCGUCAUUUCAACCAUCAAGCCCCCGGCUUGUGUUGGGGACCUGCGGCUGCCCGCAGGCCCUGAAAAACAGUGGCGGGCUCGCUGUCACACCGAGCGUAGUAGCAUACAUUCUCGCUCAGGCGUGCUGCGGGUUCCGGCCGUUAAACGACCUUCAUAACCCAAGGUUGACCUCGGAUCAGGUAGGAAGACCCGCUGAACUUAAGC